AGUGAACGCUGGCGGUAGGCCUAACACAUGCAAGUCGAGCGGCAGCACAGUAAGAGCUUGCUCUUACGGGUGGCGAGUGGCGGACGGGUGAGGAAUACAUCGGAAUCUACUUUUUCGUGGGGGAUAACGUAGGGAAACUUACGCUAAUACCGCAUACGACCUACGGGUGAAAGCAGGGGAUCUUCGGACCUUGCGCGAUUGAAUGAGCCGAUGUCGGAUUAGCUAGUUGGCGGGGUAAAGGCCCACCAAGGCGACGAUCCGUAGCUGGUCUGAGAGGAUGAUCAGCCACACUGGAACUGAGACACGGUCCAGACUCCUACGGGAGGCAGCAGUGGGGAAUAUUGGACAAUGGGCGCAAGCCUGAUUCAGCCAUACCGCGUGGGUGAAGAAGGCCUUCGGGUUGUAAAGCCCUUUUGUUGGGAAAGAAAAGCAGCAGGUUAAUACCCCGCUGUUCUGACGGUACCCAAAGAAUAAGCACCGGCUAACUUCGUG
Molecule: ribosomal RNA, 492 nt
Filed under: uncultured bacterium
Lineage: Bacteria
Description: partial 16S ribosomal RNA
Rfam family: Bacterial small subunit ribosomal RNA
Source: RNAcentral